RNAcentral lists this ribosomal RNA (253 nucleotides) under uncultured bacterium. Its description in RNAcentral is "partial 16S ribosomal RNA". It matches the Rfam family "Bacterial small subunit ribosomal RNA", at positions 524 to 776 of the family's 1533-position model. The record is from RNAcentral.
UACGAAGGGGGCUAGCGUUGUUCGGAAUUACUGGGCGUAAAGCGUGCGCAGGCGGUUAUGUAAGACAGGUGUGAAAUCCCCGGGCUUAACCUGGGAACUGCAUUUGUGACUGCAUAGCUAGAGUACGGUAGAGGGGGAUGGAAUUCCGCGUGUAGCAGUGAAAUGCGUAGAUAUGCGGAGGAACACCGAUGGCGAAGGCAGCCCCCUGGGCCAAUACUGACGCUCAUGCACGAAAGCGUGGGGAGCAAACAGG